RNAcentral lists this transfer RNA (61 nucleotides) under Cricetulus griseus (Chinese hamster). It matches the Rfam family "tRNA". Rfam says of the family: Transfer RNA (tRNA) molecules are approximately 80 nucleotides in length. Lineage: Eukaryota; Metazoa; Chordata; Mammalia; Rodentia; Cricetidae. The record is from Rfam by way of RNAcentral.
GCAGCUCAUUUGAUAGAGCACUUGCCUGGCAUGCAAGAGGCUCUGGGUUCGAUCCCAAGCA